UAGGGAAUCUUCGGCAAUGGACGAAAGUCUGACCGAGCAACGCCGCGUGAGUGAAGAAGGUUUUCGGAUCGUAAAACUCUGUUGUUAGAGAAGAACAAGGACGUUAGUAACUGAACGUCCCCUGACGGUAUCUAACCAGAAAGCCACGGCUAACUACGUGCCAGCAGCCGCGGUAAUACGUAGGUGGCAAGCGUUGUCCGGAUUUAUUUGGCGUAAAGCGAGCGCAGGCGGUUUCUUAAGUCUGAUGUGAAAGCCCCCGGCUCAACCGGGGAGGGUAAUUUGAAACUGGGAGACUUGAGUGCAGAAGAGGAGAGUGGAAUUCCAUGUGUAGCGGUGAAAUGCGUAGAUAUAUGGAGGAACACCAGUGGCGAAGGUGGCUCUCUGGUCUGUAACUGACGCUGAGGCUCGAAAGCGUGGGGAGCAAACAGG
Molecule: ribosomal RNA, 429 nt
Filed under: Gemmatimonadota bacterium
Lineage: Bacteria; Pseudomonadati; Gemmatimonadota
Description: Gemmatimonadetes bacterium partial 16S ribosomal RNA
Rfam family: Bacterial small subunit ribosomal RNA
Source: RNAcentral